Molecule: long non-coding RNA, 1768 nt
Organism: Ctenopharyngodon idella (grass carp)
Lineage: Eukaryota; Metazoa; Chordata; Actinopteri; Cypriniformes; Xenocyprididae
Exons: 2
Source: RefSeq, a predicted model, not a curated record
UUUGGAUUUUGGAACUGACAACAUAAAAUUCUGCACUGUCCCUCACCUGGACUUCAUGCCAGGUUUGACCUCCACCACUUUAUCAGAGACAUGGACCACACGGAUGGUGACUUCACCAGAUUCUGGAUGACUCUGACGCUUCAGAUACUCGUUCACUCGUGUCUCCAGAACGCAUAUCUGAUGCAUUUUUCGACCACAGUCAGCACAUUCCAGCAGUCUGAGGAAGAAGGGUGGAAACAAAGGUCAGAUGACAACAACAAAUCCAAGCUGUGACUACAAGCAAACUGAGAUGAGACAAUCAGAGCAAGUGAAUAUGUGAAAAAGUAAACAUACAGUUCGGGGUCGAGGGUGUCGUUCUUUUUCCUUUGAAACUGAUCUUUAUUGAUGGACCUGAGGAGAGAAAACGAGAGACAGAGAAGAGGAGGCCGCCCAAUCGAGUGAGUCAUGAGAAUCAAUGAACGAACACUCAACGGUAUCAGAUACUGAGGAAUAACAUCACGGCAAUAACAAUGAAGCAGAAGAUCAAAACACAAAUGUGUAGACGGGUUACUCACGUUUGAGGCUGGGUUGGAUCAUCCCCCAGGGACACAUUCUCCCCCUGGAUUUCGUUGAAACACUUCUCACAGAAGUGGUACCUGUCAGCAAGAAGCCCAUAUUUGGGUGAACUAGACCGUUCGCCAAGAGCACAGCCAAUCACAGUGAGGGCACGUGGAAGCAGCCACCAAUCAGGGCAGGACAGGCCAGGAGACAGGCACACAGGAGAAGGCAGGUUCGUCGCCGGGAGCAGCCAAUCAUGAAGCAGGGUUUUUGUGUGGGCAGAUUGAUUGAUUGGUUGCGUGUAAAUUUCGGAGCGGAUGAUUGGUCACAUCAAAGCAGGCCAAUGCAGACAUCACAAGCGUUAAAAAAGGAGGGAGAGAAAGGGGGGAGGAGGAGGGCAGAAUGAAUAUUUUAAAAAAGUGUGAGAAACAAAACCGUUAUGAGGGACAAAGAGCUAAGUGUUGGACAGGUGGAGGGGUGGGUCAGAUGUAGAAGAAGAAAAUGAAACUAAAAGAGAGAGAGCAGGAAGCCGAGGCAAAGCACAGACGGGCUCCCUCACGUCCACUGAGCUCCAAAACAACCGUGACGCCCAGAGGAGCGAGGGACAACAAUGGACAGAGUGAACGAGAAGAAUGAGAACAGGAGCAACGGAGACCCAUCAUCCUUCCAGUGCAUUUUAAAGAGGGUCUCAAGAUUCAUUACAAAAACAAAAUGUGUGACAGAUGAACAGUUAGUACACCCUGAAGUUGGCAGCAUGAACUCUUGUGAAAGAAGUCUUAGCCUGAAAAAAUUAAGUUUGCGUUAAGAGGUUCCACUGAAAAAUUUUAUAAGAACUGGGGUCCUCUACUUAAUUUUGUCAAAAAUACACCACUUAUCUUUGUUGAUUUGUAAUAUAUAUUUUUAAUUAUUCUAUGGAGUCAUUUGUUUAUUCUUCUGUUUCAUUCAAAUGUGUAUAAUGGUCUUAUUUUUUUUUUUUUUCUUUAUUUUUUUUUUUUCUUUCUGAAAAUGUACUUAAGUUUUAUUCUCCUCCUUGGGGGUGGGUGGGGGUUUUGGGCUCACUGACGGUUGUGAUUGUUCAAUUUUGUGUCCACCCUUAGUAAUUGUUAAUAGAAAAAGAAAAGGAAUGUAGAGAUUCAUUAAUGUUGCUUUCUUUGUAUAUUCCAAUAAAAAAAAACAUCCAGGUCACAUGAUGCCCCAAAAAUCAAUAAUUAAAAAAAAGAAAGAAAAAAAA